UCUUGUACUGGGUCCAUACUAUAGGGGUAGAACACUGCAUGGUUCGGUGUAUAUUCGCAAUUGCCAGGCAGAAUACACCAGAUCUGCCAUGUACUACGUUUGAGGUUAACUUAGGUGCCUAGUUUAGGCACUUAAGUAGUUGGGUAUGAAAUGGAUGAGUAGGAAUCCCUAAAAAAGGGCAGGAAGGACGAUUUUUUGAAUGAAGAGGGUGGGAAAAAAUAAUUGCCACUUGUGUGUAACGACAGUUGCCGCUUGUGUAUGAUGACAAUUGCCACCUAUUUUGACCUGUUGCUUGCCAUCCCUAUCUUCCAUGUGCAAGCAGCAGAAGAAUACAAUUCUUGUGGAUUAUUGAUGCCUUUUUGAUCAUCCAGUGAUUGAGAACAUGUCGGAAAAGAAUCGAGACGCGGAAAGGAUGAAUCGCGAAGGUGGCGCUGAUGCUUGGGGUUCUCAAAGGCCAGAAACACCGCCUUGGGAUGCAGCAGAGUAUAGUCAACUCAUCUCAGCAGGGCCGUUGCUGCCACUACUAGAACAGUAUGCAGGCGUAGGUUCUUAUGACCAAAACACUCUCAGGGGGGCCCCAUGGCAAGUUCAGUCACAAGGCGCUAACACUGACAUAUGUACGGGCAACCAACCUCAACUAGCUAGUAUGGCUAAUCAAGGGCCUUCAUGCAGCACGUGGCAUCAGCCAACACCCAUGUACCUGCC
Triticum dicoccoides is the source of this 705-nucleotide long non-coding RNA. RefSeq lists it as uncharacterized. The transcript is spliced from 3 exons. The record is from RefSeq and is a predicted model, not a curated record. Lineage: Eukaryota; Viridiplantae; Streptophyta; Magnoliopsida; Poales; Poaceae.